This 398-nucleotide long non-coding RNA is filed under the name Aotus nancymaae (Ma's night monkey). Its description in RNAcentral is "lncRNA (ENSANAG00000039379.1)". Lineage: Eukaryota; Metazoa; Chordata; Mammalia; Primates; Aotidae. The record is from RNAcentral.
UGCCUGCACUCCAGGCUUCUGAGGGGCCGCACAGGAGGAAAGUGCGCCGGGACAGGCCCUUGCGGCGGCGACAGCGACUGCUGCUGGCCGGGCUCAGGAACUUCUCAAGGGAUGAGGAGACACAACUCAUAUCUCCAAGGGCUUUCUUUGUAUUACUCAGAUGACUGGAGUUAAGAGAAGGCAGAGAAGUAUUCAAGCAGAGUCAUUUCAUAAACAAAGCAUCUGAGAAGGUUUUCUACACCCCUCCCUACCUUCUAUGGAAUGACAAGACUGGAACUAUAACGGCAUGGCUUGUUCGUUUUUCAAAAAUCAUCCCCAAUGAUGUCCCGGUUCAACUUCGCCCUAGUUCGUCAGGCGCAGCCCCACGCCGGAGCUUGAGCUAGAGCAGCAUUCCGCCA